UACGGAGGGUGCGAGCGUUAAUCGGAAUUACUGGGCGUAAAGGGCGCGUAGGCGGUGGGUUACGUCUGCCGUGAAAUCCCCGGGCUCAACCUGGGAAUGGCGGUGGAAACGGGCUGACUGGAGUAUGGGAGAGGGUGAUGGAAUUCCAAGUGUAGCGGUGAAAUGCGUAGAGAUCUGGAGGAACACCAGUGGCGAAGGCGGUCACCUGGCCCGAUACUGCCGCUGAGGCGCGAAAGCGUGGGGAGCAAAUAGG
Molecule: ribosomal RNA, 253 nt
Filed under: uncultured bacterium
Lineage: Bacteria
Description: partial 16S ribosomal RNA
Rfam family: Bacterial small subunit ribosomal RNA
Source: RNAcentral